UACGGAGGAUCCGAGCGUUAUCCGGAUUUAUUGGGUUUAAAGGGUUCGCAGGCGGGAGAUUAAGUCGGCGGUGAAAUUUUGCAGCUCAACUGUAAAAGUGCCUUCGAAACUGGUUUCCUUGAGUGUGGAUGAAGUAGGCGGAAUUUGUGGUGUAGCGGUGAAAUGCAUAGAUAUCACGAGGAACUCCGAUUGCGCAGGCAGCUUACUAAACCAUAACUGACGCUCAGGCACGAAGGCGUGGGGAUCAAACAGGAUUAGAUACCCCUGUAGUCCCU
Molecule: ribosomal RNA, 275 nt
Filed under: uncultured prokaryote
Description: partial 16S ribosomal RNA
Rfam family: Bacterial small subunit ribosomal RNA
Source: RNAcentral